UUCAUUUGGCUUUCAAUAGAUUAACACUUAAUUUUAAUUAAAAAAUCAGACAGACUUUGAUGCACCACCAUCAUCAUCAUCGCCACCACCAUCCAUAGUCGUUGCCCGUCGUCAGCAAUACAAAUCGAUGAAUGUUGUUGGCUGGCUAUAAUUUUUCGGAAUUAUAAAAAUACCACCAACCAAAUGAAAUACCCCGGACAGGUCAUUUGCAAUAGCAGGAGAAAGAGUUGAGUUGUGUAUAAAAUGCGCAGGCAUAUUUUCAUUCAUUCAUGCUGAGAUGUAUGAGAGUACUAUGAGAUAUACGUCCAUUAAUGAAUGGGCAAGGUUUUCGGGUAAGGGAUGUUUGCUUGCACAUGCGUUUAUGCAAUGCUACACAACUAAGAUGCAAACUUUGUAUUGUGGAUGGUCAGGUUUGUGUUUGUGUCUCGCAAAUUGGGAGUAGUCGGAAAAUUUUCUAUACUGAAAACUAAAAAAAAAACUUAUGACAAAAGACACUUUUCCCCAAAAUACAAAAUAUUUUUGAAAUUUUCUCUUGAGACAAAAUUUCUUUGACUUUAUUCUACAACGAAAUUUCGAAGAUAAAAAAAUCCUAGAUUUUUUCCAAGGGUAUACGCAGUACAAAACGAGAAAUAAAGAUUUAUUAAUGAGGCCAAACUGUAACCUUUUAUUGUUGUGUUUUGUUGCGUGCAAAUAAAUCUCUUCAUUUUGCAAAACUGUUUAAAAUCA
Molecule: long non-coding RNA, 726 nt
Organism: Stomoxys calcitrans (stable fly)
Lineage: Eukaryota; Metazoa; Arthropoda; Insecta; Diptera; Muscidae
Exons: 2
Source: RefSeq, a predicted model, not a curated record